GAUGAACGCUGGCGGCGUGCCUAAUACAUGCAAGUCGAGCGAACGGACGAGAAGCUUGCUUCUCUAAUGUUAGCGGCGGACGGGUGAGUAACACGUGGAUAACCUACCUAUAAGACUGGGAUAACUUCGGGAAACCGUAGCUAAUACCGGAUAAUAUUUUGAACCGCAUGGUUCAAAAGUGAAAGACGGUCUUGCUGUCACUUAUAGAUGGAUCCGCGCUGCAUUAGCUAGUUGGUAAGGUAACGGCUUACCAAGGCAACGAUGCAUAGCCGACCUGAGAGGGUGAUCGGCCACACUGGAACUGAGACACGGUCCAGACUCCGACGGGAGGCAGCAGUAGGGAAUCUUCCGCAAUGGGCGAAAGCCUGACGGAGCAACGCCGCGUGAGUGAUGAAGGUCUUCGGAUCGUAAAACUCUGUUAUUAGGGAAGAACAUAUGUGUAAGUAACUGUGCACAUCUUGACGGUACCUAAUCAGAAAGCCACGGCUAACUACGUG
This 497-nucleotide ribosomal RNA is filed under the name uncultured bacterium. Its description in RNAcentral is "partial 16S ribosomal RNA". It matches the Rfam family "Bacterial small subunit ribosomal RNA", at positions 28 to 507 of the family's 1533-position model. The record is from RNAcentral.